GCUAUACAUGCAAGUCGAACGCUUCUUUUUCCACCGGAGCUUGCUCCACCGGAAAAAGAGGAGUGGCGAACGGGUGAGUAACACGUGGGUAACCUGCCCAUCAGAAGGGGAUAACACUUGGAAACAGGUGCUAAUACCGUAUAACAAUCGAAACCGCAUGGUUUUGAUUUGAAAGGCGCUUUCGGGUGUCGCUGAUGGAUGGACCCGCGGUGCAUUAGCUAGUUGGUGAGGUAACGGCUCACCAAGGCCACGAUGCAUAGCCGACCUGAGAGGGUGAUCGGCCACAUUGGGACUGAGACACGGCCCAAACUCCUACGGGAGGCAGCAGUAGGGAAUCUUCGGCAAUGGACGAAAGUCUGACCGAGCAACGCCGCGUGAGUGAAGAAGGUUUUCGGAUCGUAAAACUCUGUUGUUAGAGAAGAACAAGGAUGAGAGUAACUGUUCAUCCCUUGACGGUAUCUAACCAGAAAGCCACGGCUAACUACGUGCCAGCAGCCGCGGUAAUACGUAGGUGGCAAGCGUUGUCCGGAUUUAUUGGGCGUAAAGCGAGCGCAGGCGGUUUCUUAAGUCUGAUGUGAAAGCCCCCGGCUCAACCGGGGAGGGUCAUUGGAAACUGGGAGACUUGAGUGCAGAAGAGGAGAGUGGAAAUUCCAUGUGUAGCGGUGAAAUGCGUAGAUAUAUGGGAGGAACACCAGUGGCGAAGGCGGCUCUCUGGUCUGUAACUGACGCUGAGGCUCGAAAGCGUGGGGGAGCAAACAGGAUUAGAUACCUUGGUAGUCCACGCCGUAAACGAUGAGUGCUAAGUGUUGGAGGGUUUCCGCCCUUCAGUGCUGCAGCUAACG
RNAcentral lists this ribosomal RNA (842 nucleotides) under Enterococcus faecium. RNAcentral describes it as "bacterial SSU rRNA". It matches the Rfam family "Bacterial small subunit ribosomal RNA", at positions 48 to 857 of the family's 1533-position model. Lineage: Bacteria; Bacillati; Bacillota; Bacilli; Lactobacillales; Enterococcaceae. The record is from RNAcentral.